CCUGGGACUUGCGUCCCAGGCUAACACAUCUCGUCGCUUCGCGACU
This 46-nucleotide small RNA is filed under the name Rosistilla ulvae. RNAcentral's name for it is "Planctomycetes bacterium EC9 Acido-Lenti-1". It matches the Rfam family "Acido-Lenti-1 RNA". Lineage: Bacteria; Pseudomonadati; Planctomycetota; Planctomycetia; Pirellulales; Pirellulaceae. The record is from RNAcentral. RNAcentral also lists the same sequence under 1 other name.